AUGCUCUCACAUCAAUCAUGGACUCGUGGAGUCAGCCAUGUGGAUGAAUCUUCAGGUUCUGAAUCGUCAGAAUCCAGGCCAUCUGAUCAGACAUUGAGGGCUCAGAUUAACCACCGCUACCGCCUGUCACGCUCAAAGAGGAGUCAUUUUUACAGGAUUUGGAUGAUCCCCAUGUCUGAUGCUGACUUGUCGUAUAUGCACACUUACUUAACUCUCAAGGCUGUGGAAGGCCGAGCCAGCCGAUAUAAUAUGAUAGUGCAUUAUUUUCUGUGUGGAGAUUCAGUCAUUCAGUGUACUGUGAUAGUGGGUGGAAUUUUCUUGUUUGUAUCCUUUCAGAGUUUUGUUAGUGAGAAGCUAAAAGGAACUCCCAGUGACAUGGAAAAUAUGAGUCCAUUUCUGGAGCGACGCAAUGCAUCCUAA
Molecule: ribosomal RNA, 420 nt
Filed under: Triticum aestivum (bread wheat)
Lineage: Eukaryota; Viridiplantae; Streptophyta; Magnoliopsida; Poales; Poaceae
Description: partial small subunit ribosomal RNA
Source: RNAcentral